CCUACGGGAGGCUGCAGUGAGGAAUAUUGGUCAAUGGGCGCGAGCCUGAAGCAGCCAAGUAGCGUGAAGGAUGACGGUCCUCCGGGUUGUAAACUUCUUUUAUAAAGGACUAAAGUGAGGCACGUGUGCCUUUUUGUAUGUACUUUAUGAAUAAGGAUCGGCUAACUCCGUGACAGGAGCCGGGGUAAUACGGAGGGUCCGAGCGUUACACGGAUUUAUUGGGUGUAAAGGGAGCGUAGGUGGGUUAUGAAGUCAGUUGUGAAAGUCUGCGGCUUAACCGGAAAAUUGCAAUUGAGACUGGCAUCCUAGAGUACAGUUGAGGUAGGCGGAAUUCGUGGUGUAGCGGUGAAAUGCGUAGAGAGCAGGAAGAACACUGAUUGCGAAGGCGGCCUACUAGACUGUCACUGACGUUGAUGCUCGAAAGUGUGGGGAGCAAACAGGAUUAGAUACCCCAGUAGUC
RNAcentral lists this ribosomal RNA (460 nucleotides) under uncultured bacterium. RNAcentral describes it as "partial 16S ribosomal RNA". It matches the Rfam family "Bacterial small subunit ribosomal RNA", at positions 338 to 795 of the family's 1533-position model. The record is from RNAcentral.